UACACUAUAUAGUAAUUUUGUAAAACUAUUGUAGUAUAAGAAUUUUGUAAUACAAAAAAUAUUCUCUUAAUAAUUCAUGAAGAUAAUUCAAAGUAUAUCAAUGUUUAACGUGAGCUGUUGUAUCCACCAUAUACAAAAUUAUCCAUGAACUUUUCCUCGAUUUUCUCAAGUAAAAUCACUUUGAAUAAUUUCUUGUCUUGAUAAAUUUGUUGCAGGAAAGCGAUGGUGAGUUCGUCUCGUGUAAAGACAAAGACAGUCGUAAAUCCAAGUGUCCGUGUUUACGAGACAACGUCGGCUGCACGAGUGAUUGUCGCUGUCGUCAUUGCGGCAACAUCUAUAACUCUCCUGAUGAUCUCCCUGGCAAGAGACAACCUGAAGACGAACCAGCCGCGUUUAAAGGGAAAGCGAAACGCAGGCGAAGCAACCCUCAGGUUAGUUCAUCAUAAUCUACACACGCCGUAAAAACGCACAAGUUGUUACAGGUCUGCAAAUAAGUUGUUGCAACUCUGUUCACAAGUUUUCAACAACUUGUAUUCGCACUGCUUGUUCCCAGUUGUUGGAACAAGUUUGGAACAGGCUCUGUUAACAACUUGUAACAAGCUUGAUGGC
This is a non-coding RNA of Paramuricea clavata, 609 nucleotides long. The record is from the annotation of a GenBank genome assembly. Lineage: Eukaryota; Metazoa; Cnidaria; Anthozoa; Malacalcyonacea; Plexauridae.